This 316-nucleotide ribosomal RNA is filed under the name uncultured bacterium. RNAcentral's name for it is "bacterial SSU rRNA". It matches the Rfam family "Bacterial small subunit ribosomal RNA", at positions 28 to 334 of the family's 1533-position model. The record is from RNAcentral.
GACGAACGCUGGCGGCAUGCCUAAUACAUGCAAGUCGAGCGGAAUGACGAGAGCUUGCCCUCUGAUUUUAGCGGCGGACGGGUGAGUAACACGUGGGCAACCUGCCCUACAGAUGGGGAUAACUCCGGGAAACCGGGGCUAAUACCGAAUAAUCAGUUUGUCCGCAUGGACAAACUCUGAAAGACGGUUUCGGCUGUCACUGUAGGAUGGGCCCGCGGCGCAUUAGCUAGUUGGUGAGGUAACGGCUCACCAAGGCGACGAUGCGUAGCCGACCUGAGAGGGUGAUCGGCCACAUUGGGACUGAGACACGGCCCAG